This 84-nucleotide ribosomal RNA is filed under the name Escherichia coli O104:H4 str. Ec11-4986. RNAcentral describes it as "partial 23S ribosomal RNA". Lineage: Bacteria; Pseudomonadati; Pseudomonadota; Gammaproteobacteria; Enterobacterales; Enterobacteriaceae. The record is from RNAcentral.
UGCAGCCAUGCCGCGUGUAUGAAGAAGGCCUUCGGGUUGUAAAGUACUUUCAGCGGGGAGGAAGGGAGUAAAGUUAAUACCUUU